Molecule: ribosomal RNA, 2921 nt
Filed under: Staphylococcus aureus
Lineage: Bacteria; Bacillati; Bacillota; Bacilli; Caryophanales; Staphylococcaceae
Description: bacterial LSU rRNA
Rfam family: Bacterial large subunit ribosomal RNA
Source: RNAcentral
UUAAGUUAUUAAGGGCGCACGGUGGAUGCCUUGGCACUAGAAGCCGAUGAAGGACGUUACUAACGACGAUAUGCUUUGGGGAGCUGUAAGUAAGCUUUGAUCCAGAGAUUUCCGAAUGGGGAAACCCAGCAUGAGUUAUGUCAUGUUAUCGAUAUGUGAAUACAUAGCAUAUCAGAAGGCACACCCGGAGAACUGAAACAUCUUAGUACCCGGAGGAAGAGAAAGAAAAUUCGAUUCCCUUAGUAGCGGCGAGCGAAACGGGAAGAGCCCAAACCAACAAGCUUGCUUGUUGGGGUUGUAGGACACUCUAUACGGAGUUACAAAGGACGACAUUAGACGAAUCAUCUGGAAAGAUGAAUCAAAGAAGGUAAUAAUCCUGUAGUCGAAAAUGUUGUCUCUCUUGAGUGGAUCCUGAGUACGACGGAGCACGUGAAAUUCCGUCGGAAUCUGGGAGGACCAUCUCCUAAGGCUAAAUACUCUCUAGUGACCGAUAGUGAACCAGUACCGUGAGGGAAAGGUGAAAAGCACCCCGGAAGGGGAGUGAAAUAGAACCUGAAACCGUGUGCUUACAAGUAGUCAGAGCCCGUUAAUGGGUGAUGGCGUGCCUUUUGUAGAAUGAACCGGCGAGUUACGAUUUGAUGCAAGGUUAAGCAGUAAAUGUGGAGCCGUAGCGAAAGCGAGUCUGAAUAGGGCGUUUAGUAUUUGGUCGUAGACCCGAAACCAGGUGAUCUACCCUUGGUCAGGUUGAAGUUCAGGUAACACUGAAUGGAGGACCGAACCGACUUACGUUGAAAAGUGAGCGGAUGAACUGAGGGUAGCGGAGAAAUUCCAAUCGAACCUGGAGAUAGCUGGUUCUCUCCGAAAUAGCUUUAGGGCUAGCCUCAAGUGAUGAUUAUUGGAGGUAGAGCACUGUUUGGACGAGGAGCCCCUCUCGGGUUACCGAAUUCAGACAAACUCCGAAUGCCAAUUAAUUUAACUUGGGAGUCAGAACAUGGGUGAUAAGGUCCGUGUUCGAAAGGGAAACAGCCCAGACCACCAGCUAAGGUCCCAAAAUAUAUGUUAAGUGGAAAAGGAUGUGGCGUUGCCCAGACAACUAGGAUGUUGGCUUAGAAGCAGCCAUCAUUUAAAGAGUGCGUAAUAGCUCACUAGUCGAGUGACACUGCGCCGAAAAUGUACCGGGGCUAAACAUAUUACCGAAGCUGUGGAUUGUCCUUUGGACAAUGGUAGGAGAGCGUUCUAAGGGCGUUGAAGCAUGAUCGUAAGGACAUGUGGAGCGCUUAGAAGUGAGAAUGCCGGUGUGAGUAGCGAAAGACGGGUGAGAAUCCCGUCCACCGAUUGACUAAGGUUUCCAGAGGAAGGCUCGUCCGCUCUGGGUUAGUCGGGUCCUAAGCUGAGGCCGACAGGCGUAGGCGAUGGAUAACAGGUUGAUAUUCCUGUACCACCUAUAAUCGUUUUAAUCGAUGGGGGGACGCAGUAGGAUAGGCGAAGCGUGCGAUUGGAUUGCACGUCUAAGCAGUAAGGCUGAGUAUUAGGCAAAUCCGGUACUCAUUAAGGCUGAGCUGUGAUGGGGAGAAGACAUUGUGUCUUCGAGUCGUUGAUUUCACACUGCCCAGAAAAGCCUCUAGAUAGAAAAUAGGUGCCCGUACCGCAAACCGACACAGGUAGUCAAGAUGAGAAUUCUAAGGUGAGCGAGCGAACUCUCGUUAAGGAACUCGGCAAAAUGACCCCGUAACUUCGGGAGAAGGGGUGCUCUUUAGGGUUAACGCCCAGAAGAGCCGCAGUGAAUAGGCCCAAGCGACUGUUUAUCAAAAACACAGGUCUCUGCUAAACCGUAAGGUGAUGUAUAGGGGCUGACGCCUGCCCGGUGCUGGAAGGUUAAGAGGAGUGGUUAGCUUCUGCGAAGCUACGAAUCGAAGCCCCAGUAAACGGCGGCCGUAACUAUAACGGUCCUAAGGUAGCGAAAUUCCUUGUCGGGUAAGUUCCGACCCGCACGAAAGGCGUAACGAUUUGGGCACUGUCUCAACGAGAGACUCGGUGAAAUCAUAGUACCUGUGAAGAUGCAGGUUACCCGCGACAGGACGGAAAGACCCCGUGGAGCUUUACUGUAGCCUGAUAUUGAAAUUCGGCACAGCUUGUACAGGAUAGGUAGGAGUCUUUGAAACGUGAGCGCUAGCUUACGUGGAGGCGCUGGUGGGAUACUACCCUAGCUGUGUUGGCUUUCUAACCCGCACCACUUAUCGUGGUGGGAGACAGUGUCAGGCGGGCAGUUUGACUGGGGCGGUCGCCUCCUAAAAGGUAACGGAGGCGCUCAAAGGUUCCCUCAGAAUGGUUGGAAAUCAUUCAUAGAGUGUAAAGGCAUAAGGGAGCUUGACUGCGAGACCUACAAGUCGAGCAGGGUCGAAAGACGGACUUAGUGAUCCGGUGGUUCCGCAUGGAAGGGCCAUCGCUCAACGGAUAAAAGCUACCCCGGGGAUAACAGGCUUAUCUCCCCCAAGAGUUCACAUCGACGGGGAGGUUUGGCACCUCGAUGUCGGCUCAUCGCAUCCUGGGGCUGUAGUCGGUCCCAAGGGUUGGGCUGUUCGCCCAUUAAAGCGGUACGCGAGCUGGGUUCAGAACGUCGUGAGACAGUUCGGUCCCUAUCCGUCGUGGGCGUAGGAAAUUUGAGAGGAGCUGUCCUUAGUACGAGAGGACCGGGAUGGACAUACCUCUGGUGUACCAGUUGUCGUGCCAACGGCAUAGCUGGGUAGCUAUGUGUGGACGGGAUAAGUGCUGAAAGCAUCUAAGCAUGAAGCCCCCCUCAAGAUGAGAUUUCCCAACUUCGGUUAUAAGAUCCCUCAAAGAUGAUGAGGUUAAUAGGUUCGAGGUGGAAGCAUGGUGACAUGUGGAGCUGACGAAUACUAAUCGAUCGAAGACUUAAUCAA